This 75-nucleotide transfer RNA is filed under the name Nitrososphaerota archaeon. Its description in RNAcentral is "Thaumarchaeota archaeon tRNA-Gly". It matches the Rfam family "tRNA". From Rfam's summary of the family: Transfer RNA (tRNA) molecules are approximately 80 nucleotides in length. Their secondary structure includes four short double-helical elements and three loops (D, anti-codon, and T loops). Lineage: Archaea; Thermoproteati; Nitrososphaerota. The record is from RNAcentral.
GCUCCGGUAGUAUAGCCCGGACAAGUAUACAGGCUCCCCCAGCCAGGGACCCGGGUUCAAAUCCCGGCCGGAGCA